GAACGCACAUUGCGCCCCCUGGUAUUCCGGGGGGCAUGCCUGUCCGAGCGUCAUUGCUGCCCUCAAGCACGGCUUGUGUGUUGGGCCUCCGUCCUCCUCCCGGGGGACGGGCCCGAAAGGCAGCGGCGGCACCGCGUCCGGUCCUCGAGCGUAUGGGGCUUCGUCACCCGCUCUUGUAGGCCCGGCCGGCGCUUGCCGACACAUCAAUCUUUUUUCCAGGUUGACCUCGGAUCAGGUAGGGAUACCCGCUGAACUUA
Molecule: unclassified non-coding RNA, 257 nt
Filed under: Penicillium citreonigrum
Lineage: Eukaryota; Fungi; Ascomycota; Eurotiomycetes; Eurotiales; Aspergillaceae
Description: sequence contains 5.8S rRNA gene
Rfam family: 5.8S ribosomal RNA (bases 1-53)
Source: RNAcentral